This is a long non-coding RNA of Anas platyrhynchos (mallard), 12159 nucleotides long. RefSeq lists it as uncharacterized. The record is from RefSeq and is a predicted model, not a curated record. NCBI's taxonomy places the organism in Eukaryota, Metazoa, Chordata, Aves, Anseriformes, Anatidae.
AAGGGACACAAGCCGUUUGUGUAUCAACACUCAUUUGUGCGAUACACAUGAAGGAGAGUGGUUUUGCCUUGAUGCACCUGUCCUCUCACCAACAUAAGAUAGCCAUGCUGUAAGAUACAAAAUACAUUUUCUUGAUUAAGACUGAUUUGCAGCCAAUCCAGCUAAGUCUGGCCCAGUAUGUUUGAUUCUAUGCACACGUGGCAUACAAACAGCUGUGCUGGUUCAGCUGCUGAGGCAGGUCGAGAACCAGGAAGAAUCUCGAGUGCUGGAGGCGAUCCCGGGAGCUGCUUGUAGAAAUCAGUGUGUCUCACAGAAAGAAAAUUUGAGAUGACUUCCCUGUCGCUGAUCAUGUACAUUCCCUAUGCAGAUUUUCUGUAAGGCACUGUGUGUCACUGAGGCUUGCAAAAAUAUCUUGCCUAUGACAGGCACCAUAUUGCUUCUAGCAUCAGGUUAAAAAAUACUCUGCUGGGAAGCAAUAUGUUACACUGUCAAUAAAAGGAAUACAUCUCAAAACCUUUGUUAUACAUGGUGCUUACUCUUGGUGUCAGUGAGAUUGUGAAUAGUGGUACAGUCUGCCUCUGUGAGAAAAAAAGGGUUGCAAGAUCAUACACAGAGAUCAUAAAUACCUCAGGCAUAAAUUAUAAACAGUUCUAGCCAGUACAAGUUUGUUUGCCAAGUGAUAGUAUCUCCCAUGUUGGUUGUAGCAAUUAUGUCUGCUGAAACAUGAAAACAAAUACAUACCCCCCCAACUCCAGCUCUCCUCACUUCAGCACAUACAGAUUUAUCGUUAAAUGUAAAUUUUCUUUGGUGUCUGCUGCUUAGAAGGAAUAUUAAACCUCAUAAUCUAGGCUUUAAAUCAAUUUCUAAUGGGAUGAGACCUAAUGUGGGGAGGGCAGCUGGGGCAGGUUAUUCCACCUCUAUUUUCCCAUGAAGUUUCUGACAAGGGCUACUGUUGGAAGAUACUAGAUUAGUUUGACCUCAGGUCUCAUUCAGUAUUGCAGCUCUUAUACUCCUGUGUUAAACUCUGUAGUGCAUAUUGCUAUCAAAUUGCUUUCUACAGCUCUGUCUGACCCCUCCCCCCAGUGAUGUUGUGCAUGGGAAGCCAAGCAAAACAUUCCGUUAAUGUUUAGAAAGAGAAUUUGAGAUAUGUUUUUCAUUUGAUGCUGUAGGAUUUAGUACAUGCAUAGUGCAGAAAUGAUUUUACUGGACUUAAAUCAUAUUAUGUAUUAAUGAAUUACCAGGAUAUGAGUCAGCAUUGGAAUAGUUUGAGCAGGAAAGUAGCAUUGUUCCACAAACAAUAAUCUGUUGAUAAAUAGUGGUGAAAGCUGUAAUUCAAUAGGAAUUGUUUUUGAAGAGAACCAGAGAGAGACUCUAUGGAUAUAUAUUCUCCACUAUUGCAGUGGUGCACCUUGAGAUAAUGCCAUGUUACAGCUCUCACUCAUUUAAUCACCUUAAGGUCAGGAAUCCUUUACACUAAGUGCUGUACAGAAUUGCAGGAAAAUGACAACCCUAUCCCAAAUGUUCAGAGGAGCUUCAUCUUCCUGUGCUUGUUUCUACCCUUCUGGGCCUUUUAAAAGUGCUCAAUUUCGUUUACUUUUUUUCUAAUGAGAAUAAAAUCCCUUAAGAUCUUAACUCAUUUAAGCAAAGGAGUGUGAUUUUCUUCCAGAAGCCAUGUUAUGAACUACUUGUGUUGAUAAUUUUCUGAUGAGCCCUGUGUUAGGACAGGUGAGAUAAAAACAAAAAUUUAAGCUCUAAUACUAAGAGGCAAUGAGAUGGAGGAGUAUUUCCUGGGUUAUUGUUGGGUGGAGGGUUUUUUUUUAUUCGUAUUUGCAAAAAGCUUCUGUUCAUGUUUUUGGAGUGAUACCUGCCAUUCCUGGACUCCCUGGAGGCUGGCCUUCCUUGGUGGAAGUAGUGGCAUGAAGCAGAGCACACAUGAACAGCCCAAUGGAGGGUACAUUUUUCUGCGGGCACAAGCCACAACUCAUGGAGCCUGUGGCAGACCAUGAGUUGCAGGCAAACAAUCAGCAAGCAUGUGGCAGAGACAAGAAACUGCCUCUUAUCAUGGCCUCUUCUGCUUUUCUCAUUGGCUUACAGAGGCAAGCAUUGUUUCACCUCUCCACUUCCAUAUGCCCUCCUCCCACCUUGAUCUGAUCUUUAGAUUGAGUGCUUGCAAAGAAGAAGGUGACUUGUGCUAGUUCUGGACCUCAGGACAAGGUUUCUAAUUACUUUUUAAACAAGCCUUUGAAGCAGAGGCAGAGAACAGCAAUUAUUGUUUGUAUUAAUUGGCCACUGACUUCACUGGGAGCUUGAAGUAAGCUAGGGAUGCACAAUCAGAAUGACAGGAGGUGAAGUGCAGCAUUUGAUUUUUCAGUUGAAAGCUGAAACUGUUUUUGUACUUGCUCUUUCAGCACCAUCAAAUAACACUAAAGCAGAUUUUGACCCAGAGUAGCCCCUUAUUCCUUCAAGAAGUCUCACUAGCAGCUACUACUCAGCGGUGAUAGAGACAGCUUGGCAAAGAGAAGGUCUCUCUUUCCAGAAAUAUGUCUAAAAAAACAAAUGUAUUUCAGGAUGGAGGGAAUAUUCCUCACUUGAUACACAGAGGGUAAAACCUUUUUUGUUUGUCUCAUCAGGCUGUUAAGUUGCUCUUACAGAGUUGCUGUGUAAAUAGUGGCUUGAGCAGAGUGCAGACAACUAAACAUGUUUAUAUUUGUAGGAAAAUAAAUAAACCUGCCUGAAGUUUCUUUUAAUGCAUUUCUGCUGUUGAUAUAUGGCUUUUCCUAUCCCAAACACUUGACGCGUAACACAGUUUAUUGCUGUAAUAGCAGUAGAUAACUCAAUUUGCCUUUGCCUUGGAAAAUGAUUGAUUUUGGAAAAGGAUAUGUUUGUUUAUAAAAUCUUGGCAAUGAUCUGAUGAAAGUACUUUGUUUUCUUUAAAAAAAUGUUGGGAAAGUAGUGACUUUAAUUGCAUUUUAGAUUGUCCUAGCAAAACAAUGGUAAGAGGAUAAACAUAAUAGGAACUAAAGCCAAUUGCCUCUUACUGGUUUCCUCAGGUUAAUAGAGGAGCCUGAGCACAACAAAGCCCUCAUGUAAUGGAGAGGAGCUGCAGGGUGGGAAAGAGCUCAGACAGGUAAACAUAGACCCAAGAGCAAGGGCUCUGUCUCAGAAAUCUACAGGCCAUCUAGCGUUGACUCUAUUUCAGUUGCCAAUAUUAAGCUCAUCACACAGAAACAGUCUUUUGCCUUCUUGUCUCUACAUCUCUCCCUCUUUUACCUUCUAUCUCAGCAGAUUCUGCCCUCCAACAGCCCUCAAGGCUUGGAGGUCCUUAUGUUUCCACUAAGGAUUUUGUGUCCAACUGUCACAUGUAGAAAUGCCUGUACAAGCUAUACAAGCAACUUGACUCAAGUUCUUUAUUGUCUUACCAUAAAUAAUUCUGUGUUUCAAAAGCUUGUCUCAAAGACUCUCUGUUCAUAAUGUGUCAGGGCCAUGAAGCUAAUAAAGCCAAUGUCAGAUGUGUGUUGGGGGUGAUGGCCCUCAAAUGCAGAACAGUGCAUUUAUUAGCAUGUACAUAUUCUUUUCGUAUUAACAAUGAAGCUGUGAUUGUUGAAAUGCUCAUGCAGGGCACUAAGAAGAGCUGUAAUGGGAAAACUACACAUCCUGAUGCCCACAGUGCUACAAUUUUGUUGGUGCUAGCAUGCGUAACAGAUUAGACUUAUCACAAAGGUCACUGAGUAUAGUUGCACUUGCAUUCUCCAAGCUAAGCAUUUAGAGGUAUGGUUUUAACUCAGGCUCAUUUAUCAUAGCUUUGUUGACUUUUCUCUGAUUUGCCAAUCACCAAAAGGUUGCAAAUGUACUUACUGUUUCUUUGCUCUUGUACAUGGCCUUUCAUCAAGCAGUUUCAGCCCUUCCAAUUUUGUAGCUCUUAGGGGGGGGAAAAGAAGGAGCAAAGUGCUUGGUUCCACUCAUUUCCUAUUGAUUUUAAAAGUAAUAGGUUCUAAAAAUGAACAAUGUUGUUGAAGAUAUAUGUGCAUUUCUGAUAUUAUAAUCUUUUGUUGUAUUUAGCAGGUAACUGUGCACUACUCGGAUUCAGAUCCCUAUAGGACAUUUAAAAUCUUUUAAAAAAAUCUUUAUAAGUCUUUUAAACUGAUUUUUUAAAAUUGUUACAAGGAUAACAACAAACACAAAGUAGGAUGAAAACAACUGCCAUGAGCUCAUGGUCAGACUAAGUUCAAAAAGCUUCACAGUGAAAACCAGUAAUGAUAUUUGAAAUCUUCCUUUCCAAAUGCCUUUUUAGAACACUUCCCUUCAUAUCUGUGACCUUAGGCAAUCUUAUUAAUUUUAUGCCAUUGUGUCUAGUUAUUAGUAUGUUUUUUUCCCAAUCAAUAGGAGACCCGGAAAACUUUCUCACAUGCAAAAACAAUAUCUUUCUUUCUUUUUUUAAACUUCUUUAUUUAAAAGUAUCUCCAGACCUGUCUCUGGUGAUUGGUGAGUUUCUCUGCAAACCCUCCUCAGAGACUUUGCUAGCUGAGGGUUCUUCUGCCCUCUCUGCUCCCUUUCCCUGCCCAAGAGCAGAUGGGGAUCCCUCAAGUUUCUUCUCUUGAAGUACAUGAGUACUCAAUCUGAGGGUGUCUAGAGGGUGUCUGUAUAGACAGGAUAUGUGGAAUGUGUCACAGGUGUAUAGGCGCCUUGCAGUGCAUGCUCCCAGGAGGUCACCCAUCUUCAGCUGCAGCGCAGAUCUGUAGCCUUUCCCCAGCUCCAGAAGCUCAUACAUCUGGUAAAGCAGGUCAGUAAAUUACACACUACAUUGACUAAGGUUAUCUCUCAAGUGAUUUCGCAGAUUGAGGGAGAAGCCAUGGCAGUGUUGGUUGAAAUAUGGUGAAAAGCACUGGGAAAUACUGGGCUAAGGAGAACUGAGGAUGUGUUCCCUGUUGUAAGUGACAAGGUGAAUAGUCUGCAUAUAAGAAACAAACAUUUCUCAUUAGAUAUGAAAUGUACUGCUGUCUUCUAUUCAGAGAGCCUCAGUACCCAGCAUCUGGUUUCUCAUUCCUCUAUCAGUUAUGACAGCUGGUCAAAUUCAGAAUUGCUGACCAGUUCAGCUCAGCUGAAGAAGAAGAGAAGUGAAGGAAGAGCCUUGGCCACGCUCUUUUUCCUCCUCAGCAGUCCCAUGGGCAGCUCCAUUCUCCAUCUCCUCUUGCAGUGCCAAGAUUUAGCAAGUAGCUUUGUGUUGAAAAUAUUGGAAGAAAAGAUUGUCUGCUAGACAGGGAAAUUAUCAGGUAGUCCUCUACCGUUAUUCGGUUUUCAGUUUGCUGCUUCUUACAAAAAGAAAAAAAAAAAAGAAAAAAAAAAAAAGAAUGUAAUGGGGUAUUUCAAAAUGCUGCAGGGAAAAAAUAUUGAAAACUUUUUACGUUGCCAAACAGCAGAGAAAUAAUAAUGUAAUAACAAUGAUGAUGGCGAUGAUGAUGUAUUUCAUUACAGAAAUGUAAAAACCCUUGGGCCAAAUCCCACCAUCUUUAUUCAAAGAUACCCCCAAAGACCCCAAGGUUAGCUGCCAAGUUUUGCCUGGCUGAAAUUGCCAAAUUCUGCAAUUUCCAUCCAAAACUAUAAAUCUUCCCAGCUCCUAAGGCAAACCUUUUGGUAAUCCAAAAGCAAGCAAUUGGUUCUGUGGCUGAUGCAUGAGGCAGAACAAAACCAUACUGACUGGGAGCAGAAUUGGCUCUGCAGUGCUGACAGGAAGAUGAAUGUAUGGUGGUCAGUUGACUUGGCACAUACAUUAAGGGGAACACAUAGGGAAUAGAUAUUUAUAGCAUUAAGAUGUCAUUUUGCAGCCCCAUUUCUGCAGACUCUGAGAAAGCCCUGAGGGAGGCUUGUGGAAGAGAAUGAGCUUGUGGACUGUGUGUGGAAGAAAAUUAAAAAAGGAAUUUUUGAAAGAAAUGGAGAAGAGAAGGGAAAAUUUGUUGGUACAUGAGAUCACAUAAAACUCCCUUGGAAGAGUUCCUACAGGAAGGAUUGUAUUUACUCUGGAGAAGGAGUAAAUAGUUUAGACCUACAGUUUAUAUUGCCAAGUCUCAGUAUUUAACCUUCAUUCCUUCUGCUUUCAACCCCCAGAGAUAGCAAAGCGGUUUCCAGAAAGUGUAACUGGGUACUUAUGAUAGGUCUGAUAGCAAAGAUAAAGAAAACAAGCUGCUACUUGCCUUUAAAGACUCUCCCAAUUUUACUGUCUUGUUCUUUCCAACUAUAGUUCCCUUUGCUGUAACUUUUGGGUAAACAGUGUGAAGCCAACUUUCUGAUGUUAAUGAUGAUGAUGAGUUUGCUGGGUUAAGAGUUGUCCCCUUGGUGCAUAGCAUCAAAGAAAGAUCUGACUACUGAAGUUCCUCUAACCACUGAAGGGGCCAAUGAAUGAUUACUGUCUUCUGAACUUCGCUGCUCUGGUGAUAUGAAUUAACGGAGGCAGCCAGCCAGCCCAAGGGAACUACUUAGUUGAGUUUUGCUUUCUUAUAUGUAACCUCAGACCCAACAAGAUACUACAAGAAAUACAUCAAGAGGUACUUGCUGAUUCCUGGAAGGAUCAGGUAUGCACAACACUCUUAUAAGAGAAAUUAUUCAGCCUUUACCAGAUUUAGCAAUUAAAAAAGAUUGCACUAAUUUGAACUCUAAAAAAUAAACUGGUGUAGGACACUAGAAAUUUACUCCAGGAAAACAUCUAGACCAUCCUCUCAGGAAGAGGGAUAAGAGGGAUGCUUUUGGAGGUUACCAGUGAUAGAUGCUGCUUAAGUACAGCAGGUCAGGCUAAAUGAGCAUGGUCAUCUUGCUAAUAUUAAAUAAAAUCAUUCUAUCAAAAUAAAUGUCCUGUUUCUGUCCACUGUGGUAGGACUUUGAAGACUUUAGUCAGCCUUGGACAUGUAGCAGAAGUGUGAGUACACACAGAAAGAAGAAAUCAGUGAUGUCCAGAUAUUCCUUAGAGCACAAUAUGAGUGUUUGAAGUCAUCAGACCAGAAUGAUAAAUGGUAGAGACAACUGUGGCUCCCUAAAUUGCAUUUGCACCAGAGCUAUCGAGUGGUAAUUCUGCAUUUAGUACUCUACAAAGACAAGGAAAGACACAGCCUUUCUAAAGAGGGAUGAUCAGCAGUUUGACAGCCUCAAGAACAGAGAUAACAUGUUAUUGAAGUUAUUAUGGGUAGAGAUAGCCUGACAGGUAGGUGAAGACAAGUUGUUUCCAGGAUCUAAAUAUAUUGGAUAAACAGGAUAUACAGACAUAAAAAGAUACUGAGGUAGUGAGGUAGAACUAUGUAGAUGAUAAUGCUAGCAGUCCUUACUGCAGGACUGGAAAGGAUGGGCUUCACACUCUAGGCAUUGCAUACCACACUGGCUUAAAAGGAAACCGUGGCCUAGUUGCAUCUUCUGGGGCAUUUGGCUGUUCAGCAGAGCACUGCCUUCUUGCUCAGCCAGCCUGGAUGGGCUGGCAGGCUCAAGGUCCAAAGAGACCCUACUGCUGUCGCAGAAGCUUGGGCUACCCAGUAGCGUGCAAGAAAGCAGCUCCCUCAGGGUGGUGAACCCAGAGGAAUUACUCUAAUUAGUGAAGUCAGUGUUAAGCUACUGCUGUCCUAGAAAGUGUUGCCCUCUGGGGCAGAAAGUACCUUCUGUGAGUUGCAGAGCAGAAGCUAACUUGAGCCCAAAGUCUUCCAGUGGGAAUAUGAUUGGAGGCACAUCUGCAUGAUCCUGGUGUCACUGCAGGUCCUUAUUGAUUUCACAGCUCCCAUGUGGACAAAGACAUGGACCUACUUGUAGUAUUGCUGCCUAAAUCUAUUGCUAGAGAUCAGAGACAUGCUAUUUGCUACUAGUGAAAAUCAAGGGUACAACUAAAUGGUUUAUUUAGACUGGGAAAACUAGAUUAACUCUAAUUUGCUAUGGGCAAAUUUUUGUUUGUGAACUGAACCAAGGCAGCAUGUUUAAAUAAUGCAUGGAGCAGUGGUUCUAUCUUUAUUAGAGUGGGUAGGAAGCAAAAAUUCUGCAAAAUUUGGCACUCACUGCUUCUGUGUGCCUAUCCCUGAUAUAAAAAUAGUUUCAUUUUGAAAAUCCUUGCAGUAUCUCCUCUGUGGGAUUCUUAUAUAAUAAGUCACAGGUUUCUAAUUAUUUAUUGCAUCUAUCUCUAGUAUAUUUUGCAAGUUUCUUUUACAUUUUAUAUAGAUUUAUUUGUUUUACUACCACUUUGCAUUCUAAGAACAAAUCAGCUGUAAUAAAAAGCACAUUUCCUUGCAAGCAGAAUCAAUUUCCUUCAGAAGUCUUUCAUUCCCUGAUUAGCGUGUUACAUUUGGUCUUCACUAAUCACAACUGUGAGCAAUAAAAUUCUUAAAUAAAAAAGUGCUUUGGUCCAAGUCACUGUUAGUCAUAAUGGAUGGUUUCCUACUUAAAUUUCUGAAACACGAGAUGUGACUGGGCUACUUAGAUACUUACAUUCACAUUAAAAAUAUAACAAUUAAGGCCAGAUCUGUUUUUCUGCAGGUCAUUAGUAUGUUAUUAACAACUAAGUCUCAGCAGCAAGGUGAUUUGAUUGCAAGUCAGUAAUGUUGUGGGAAGCCUAAAUGGGUGUGGUUUUUCGAUUACUUUUAAGGGUUUGGGGUUACAGGUUGCUUUGGUGUUUUUUUUUCCCUUUUUGUUAGCCUGCUUCAGUGAGAAAGCAAUGAAGUAGAAGUUUUGUAUGUUACUAGGUCUUUCCAUGUUUCCUCUUCAUUGGUUUUAUUUUUGUAGACCCUGAAAUGUAAGUUAGCUAUAAGCCAUUCCUUUUGGUUGGUGCUGGAUGUGUAUUAGCGAGUUACGUUCUCAGAGGAUGUAUUUUUACUAACUGUGAACAGGAGUAAGUCACUGUAGAUCAGAAAAUUUGAGCUGUGGUGGAAACCCCUCUUGUGGCUUCUGUAGCAAAGUAAUACCUUUCCCAAUAGUGAAUUUAAACCAGCAUUUGCUGGAGAGCAUAGUUUGAAUCAUGGCUCCCUGUGGUCCAGCAACCACUCAACAUGGUUUCCCUAAUGUCUGUCAAAUAUUGUUGGAAACCACUCUGGCUGGACUGUAAGGUGAACAACGUUACAUGGGUGGUAUGAAUUCCCUGCAGAAACUGGAGGAUGCAUGGGGGAAGACAGAAAAUCACUUUCAGCCAAAAAUACAUAUAAAAAAGCAUUAGUGUUUAUUUCAAAAACAUCAUCUAACAGUGUUUUAGUUUCUAUAUAUGUGUGCUUAACAAAUGAUAAAAAGGAGAAGCUCUGUUUAUCAGAGGAGCCAGUGACUCGGAAGCUGAGGUCUGCGAGCAGAAAUGUUCUGCCUAGCCUUGGGUUUGCUUUGUGUGCAUUAUCAGUUGAGUGGGGUACUCCACAAUGAGUCUGCAUUUGAUUGGGGCUUAAACGCAAACCAAGGGUGUUAGAGAAGGCUGGAAGAAAGCUAUGUGUUGCAGACUUCUGCACGGGGAGAAUGACUCCUGCUGUGGUGCCGCACUGGGAGAUAACUCCUCUGUGCUGAUCUAUUACUUUGUGUGUCCCACUGGGACACCUGGGCCAUCACUUCCAGCAAGGGGCCGAACACUACUGGCAUGAAACAUGAACACUACUGCAUGAAUCAGAAAGCCAUAGAUUCCUUGUUGAGUAUAUUCUUCACGGCAUCCUGAGUCUUUGCUGCAACAAUGAAGACCGCAUGAAAAAUAUGUCAAACAAGAAGACCAAACUCUAAUUCAAACGUCAUGUCACCUGUAUUUUGGAAGAAGACUCCUGGUUUCAUAAAUCAACCUAUUUGUUUAAUUCAUGUCUCUGAGAAAAACUGUCCUGAUGGCCAUUAGGUUGCACUAACCAACUAAUCAUUUAUUAUUAGUAUUAGCAAAUAAAAUGACAUUAGUGAAUAAAAAGGGGGGGAGGAGAGAUAUAGUUUUGCAAUAAAUUUUUAACAUGUGAUUGGCCAAGCUAAGCACUGAAUUGUUCAGUUCUAUAACCACAACACAAGUUCACCUAUGUACUAUGUGCAAGGUGAAUUUUGCGUGUGUGUAUUCUGACUGGAAAUCAUAAUGGAUUCUGCAUUGGUUUGCAGUCCUCAAAGCAUAUCCAGAUCCACUGUUAUCAGCCUUGCUUUUAAAUGUUUAUCAUUGAGCUGUUUGUUUGCAAUGCUAAUGCUUUUUGAAAUGCCGUGCAUUGCACUUAAAUUUUCUCAUUGUUGAUUUCUUUUAGUUUCUCUGAAAUUUAUUGUAGAGGGAAAAAGCAAUGGCAAUCAAGAAUAUAGGGCACUGCAUUUGAGGAAAUGGAGUACAGAAAGAAGCCUUUCACUAAAGAGCUGCUGGUAAGAAUCCAGCUCAGCUUCAGAUUUAGCAAAAAUCAUUACUGUGUGAUGGCUUCUUGGUGCCCUGCACUCUAGAUCCACAAAUGAGUCAGAGUCUGCAUCUCACGAACCACCAGAACAAUUAAUGCUACUGUAAUUGGGAGUCUUCUGCCAGGACCGGUGGAAAGGGCAGGGACUGAGUGAGCAUGGAAAAAGAGCUGUUUUCUCCCUGCUCCUUCAGGUCACCUUUAAGACAUAACUGUGUGAGGAAAUCUUGAAGAAACUAGCUCUGUGGUAGCUCUCCUUCUGGAGAAAAAUGGAAGACUUUACUUGCCAGUACUGAGAAUCUGACACCCCCUUACAAACAUUAUAUUCAAGAACAAGAAAGUUCAUUAAGAGAUGGUUUAAUGUGUGAAAGUACGAACUUAAAAAAAAAAAAAAAAAAAAGUUGAACUAAUAAGAAAAUCCAAAGUGCUAAUUUAAAAUAAUAGGAACAGAGCCCAGCAAAUAUUAUAACGCCUGACCACCAUUGGCAACAGUUAUUUCCCUCAAAAAUACAGAAAAUCCUGCUCUAUUAUUAAACCAUUGAACAAUCUCUUCAAUUUGAAUCUAUCCUAGGCAAAAAGAAAGGAGUGCUUGCACUGUACAAGUACUCCUUGGAGAUGAGAAUGUGGAUUGAUAGAAGUGAUUCUGGACUUCAUUCAGGCUGAGAUGAUGCUUCAAUGUCAUGGUAACAUUGACUGGAAGGAGAGCUGUCAGCAACACUAGACACCAUAAACAGAGUGCCUUUAGGGAGGUCUGGGGCAUCUGGUGUGCACGUGGAUCACAGAAUAGUAGAUUGGAAGGGACCUCUGGAGGUCAUCUGUUCUGGUCCCUGAAACUGGCACUUACACAGACCCAUCUGCUGUGAACUGGGAAGUUCUUCACAUUAGAAUUUAUAUGCUACUGGCAGAAAAACUACCUCUGGCAGGAAACUCGCCCCACACUAUCAGAGAUUAAUUUUGCUUUAUAGUUCCCAUAGGCCUCAAACAGUUAAACUGUGAAGAUGUCUCUCAAUACGCUGAAAUGACAGAACCACGUCUGCUGAUUAUUGUGGUGAAUGUGAUAAAGAAUUAUUGACUAAGUGAAAGUAAAAAGAAUGUGCUAGAUAUCAGAUUAGCAAAAUAAGAUUAGUGCUAGCAAAUCUGAAAGGUUCUGAGACACCUUAGGCUAUUUUUGAAUUCAUGCCAUACAUGUAUUCAACUAAAAAUAAACUAGAAACUUCAAGGUUUUUUUCCACUGCAGUUCCUCAAAAACAAAACUUUUUGACUCCUCGUGAUAAAAUGAUUCAAAAAUGUAAUUUAAAUAAAGUACCUCAAACCAGAAAGUUCAGAGUGAGUGACCCAAUACAAAAAAUUCUGUUUGUGUGAGCAUGUGCACAUGUUUGUGGCGAGUUUGACCACAAAACCAAAAGACAAUUUGUUUAUUUUCAGUGCUUUAGCUGUAACCUGACACAUCCCUGCUUUUAUAUUUUUGGGUUUCUCUUCAAUAGAUAACGCUAGCAGAUUGUGUAGUUGUGUUUAUAGAGAGAAGACAAAGAUUAGAUACCUAUGUUCUUUCCCAGUUGUGUGGUGUGCACAAUUUGAAACCCAGGUCUGUGAGUGUGGAAAAGUGGAGUAAUUCCCUUUUCUUCAUUCUCUUAUGAGAUAUACCUGUAUCAUGAGGGUAGUGGGAAAUAAAUGCAUCUUUUCAGGGUAAAUAUGGAGAAGUAUUAUGGAGCACUACAAAGGCAUGAGAGCCAACUCUACAGUUUCUGGGAGAUGAGGGAUGACAGCACCCAGAACACAGGUUUUGGAGUUUAGAAGGAAAAAAAAAAAAAAAAAAAAAAAAAAAAAA